Molecule: ribosomal RNA, 269 nt
Filed under: uncultured prokaryote
Description: partial 16S ribosomal RNA
Rfam family: Bacterial small subunit ribosomal RNA
Source: RNAcentral
UACGGAGGAUCCGAGCGUUAUCCGGAUUUAUUGGGUUUAAAGGGUGCGCAGGCGGGAGAUUAAGUCGGCGGUGAAAUUUUGCAGCUCAACUGUAAAAGUGCCUUCGAAACUGGUUUCCUUGAGUGUAGAUGAAGUAGGCGGAAUUUGUGGUGUAGCGGUGAAAUGCAUAGAUAUCACGAGGAACUCCGAUUGCGCAGGCAGCUUACUAAACUACUACUGACGCUCAGGCACGAAGGCGUGGGGAUCAAACAGGAUUAGAUACCUCGGUA